GACGAACGCUGGCGGCGUGCCUAAUACAUGCAAGUCGAACGCUGAAGGAGGAGCUUGCUUCUCUGGAUGAGUUGCGAACGGGUGAGUAACGCGUAGGUAACCUGCCUGGUAGCGGGGGAUAACUAUUGGAAACGAUAGCUAAUACCGCAUAAUAGUAGAUGUUGCAUGACAUUUGCUUAAAAGGUGCAAUUGCAUCACUACCAGAUGGACCUGCGUUGUAUUAGCUAGUUGGUGGGGUAACGGCUCACCAAGGCGACGAUACAUAGCCGACCUGAGAGGGUGUUCGGCCACACUGGGACUGAGACACGGCCCAGACUCCUACGGGAGGCAGCAGUAGGGAAUCUUCGGCAAUGGACGGAAGUCUGACCGAGCAACGCCGCGUGAGUGAAGAAGGUUUUCGGAUCGUAAAGCUCUGUUGUAAGAGAAGAACGAGUGUGAGAGUGGAAAGUUCACACUGUGACGGUAGCUUACCAGAAAGGGACGGCUAACUACGUG
Molecule: ribosomal RNA, 495 nt
Filed under: uncultured bacterium
Lineage: Bacteria
Description: partial 16S ribosomal RNA
Rfam family: Bacterial small subunit ribosomal RNA
Source: RNAcentral